GAUGAACGCUAGCUACAGGCUUAACACAUGCAAGUCGCGGGGCAUCAUGGAGGUUGCUUGCAAUUUCUGAUGGCGACCGGCGCACGGGUGAGUAACGCGUAUCCAACCUUCCCAUUACUACGGCAUACCCCGUUGAAAGGCGGCCUAAUUCCGUAUGCAGUCCGAAGCAGUCAUCUAAUUUGGACGAAAGGUAUAUUCUAUCGGUAAUGGAUGGGGAUGCGUCCGAUUAGCCAGCCGGCGGGGUAACGGCCCACCGGGGCAUUGAUCGGUAGGGGUUCUGAGAGGAAGGUCCCCCACACUGGAACUGAGACACGGUCCAGACUCCUACGGGAGGCAGCAGUGAGGAAUAUUGGUCAAUGGGCGUAAGCCUGAACCAGCCAAGUAGCGUGCAGGAUGACGGCCCUAUGGGUUGUAAACUGCUUUUAUGCGGGGAUAAAGUUGGGGACGUGUCCC
This 453-nucleotide ribosomal RNA is filed under the name Hoylesella oralis. Its description in RNAcentral is "bacterial SSU rRNA". It matches the Rfam family "Bacterial small subunit ribosomal RNA", at positions 28 to 466 of the family's 1533-position model. Lineage: Bacteria; Pseudomonadati; Bacteroidota; Bacteroidia; Bacteroidales; Prevotellaceae. The record is from RNAcentral.